UCGGGAAUUUUGGGCAAUGGGCGAAAGCCUGACCCAGCAACGCCGCGUGAAGGAUGAAGUAUUUCGGUAUGUAAACUUCGAAAGAAUAGGAAGAAUAAAUGACGGUACUAUUUAUAAGGUCCGGCUAACUACGUGCCAGCAGCCGCGGUAAUACGUAGGGACCAAGCGUUGUUCGGAUUUACUGGGCGUAAAGGGCGCGUAGGCGGCAAUUCAAGUCAUCUGUGAAAUCUCCGGGCUUAACUCGGAACGGUCAGAUGAUACUGCUUUGCUAGAGUGCAGAAGGGGCAAUCGGAAUUCUUGGUGUAGCGGUGAAAUGCGUAGAUAUCAAGAGGAACACCUGAGGUGAAGACGGGUUGCUGGGCUGACACUGACGCUGAGGCGCGAAAGCCAGGGGAGCAAACGGGAUUAGAUACCCACGUAGUCCCUGAGCGGGC
Molecule: ribosomal RNA, 434 nt
Filed under: uncultured bacterium
Lineage: Bacteria
Description: bacterial SSU rRNA
Rfam family: Bacterial small subunit ribosomal RNA
Source: RNAcentral